AGUCGGGAAUUUUGCGCAAUGGACGAAAGUCUGACGCAGCAACGCCGCGUGAGGGAUGAAGGCCUUCGGGUUGUAAACCUCUUUUGUCAGGGACGAUGAUGACGGUACCUGACGAAUAAGCCACGGCUAACUACGUGCCAGCAGCCGCGGUAAUACGUAGGUGGCAAGCGUUGUCCGGAUUUACUGGGCGUAAAGAGCGCGCAGGCGGUCGUUCAAGUCGCGUGUGAAAGCCCCCGGCUCAACUGGGGAGGGUCACGCGAUACUGCUCGACUCGAAGGCAGGAGAGGGAAGUGGAAUUCCCGGUGUAGUGGUGAAAUGCGUAGAUAUCGGGAGGAACACCAGUGGCGAAGGCGACUUCCUGGCCUGUUCUUGACGCUGAGGCGCGAAAGCUAGGGUAGCAAA
RNAcentral lists this ribosomal RNA (402 nucleotides) under uncultured bacterium. RNAcentral describes it as "bacterial SSU rRNA". It matches the Rfam family "Bacterial small subunit ribosomal RNA", at positions 353 to 772 of the family's 1533-position model. The record is from RNAcentral.